AUGGAUGCCAAAGGUUGCUCUCAGUCUUGCACAUCUCUGAACCCAGCCAAUUUUUUUUGGAAAUGCCCAACGAAUGUGAAGGACAAGAAGGUUGUUCCUCUGUUCUUUAAUGUUCAGAGUCAAGUAGUAUGUCAUGGUUUUCCUGAUGUUUGGUUCAUACAAGUUGCUGAACCGAGUAUAUUUGGAAAGGUCAAAGACUGGCGUUUCUUCACGUGGUUAGUCAGGUGCUUGGACAUGGUCGUGCAAAUUCAGAUGAUAAAUGUGUCCAUCAUCAGCAAUGCAUCUGCUCGUAGCAUGUCGCGGGAAAUGCAGCGACUUAUUGAUGCUCCGAGGCUUGAAUUUAUUGCUAUGAGAGUUCAAAUUGAUGCUAUCAGGCUUUGA
Molecule: ribosomal RNA, 381 nt
Filed under: Triticum aestivum (bread wheat)
Lineage: Eukaryota; Viridiplantae; Streptophyta; Magnoliopsida; Poales; Poaceae
Description: partial small subunit ribosomal RNA
Source: RNAcentral